CGUAGGGGGCAAGCGUCGUCCGGAUUUAUUGGGCGUAAAGCGCUCGCAGGUGGUUCGUCGCGUCGUACGUGAAAGACCCCGGCUCAACUGGGGAGGGUCGUGCGAUACGGGCGGACUGGAGGCCAGUAGGGGGAUGCGGAAUUCCGGGUGUAGUGGUGGAAUGCGUAGAGAUCCGGAGGAACACCAGCGGCGAAGGCGGCAUCCUGGACUGGUCCUGACACUCAGGAGCGAAAGCGUGGGGAGCGAUCCGGAUUAGAUACCCGGGUAGUCCACGCUGUAAACGAUGCGCACUAGGUGUCGGGGGUAUCGACCCCCUCGGUGCCGCAGCUAACGCGAUAAGUGCGCCGCCUGGGGACUACGGCCGCAAGGCUA
RNAcentral lists this ribosomal RNA (372 nucleotides) under uncultured organism. RNAcentral describes it as "bacterial SSU rRNA". It matches the Rfam family "Bacterial small subunit ribosomal RNA", at positions 526 to 896 of the family's 1533-position model. The record is from RNAcentral.